Haliotis rubra (blacklip abalone) is the source of this 221-nucleotide long non-coding RNA. RefSeq lists it as uncharacterized. Lineage: Eukaryota; Metazoa; Mollusca; Gastropoda; Lepetellida; Haliotidae. The transcript has 3 exons. The record is from RefSeq and is a predicted model, not a curated record.
CUGGAGACUACCUGAACAUUGUGUCUGCUCCAGUGUCUAGUGACUUGAAGUCAGGGCCCCAUCAACGAGCCGGGGAUGAAGCUGAACAACAUGGAGCCUCGAGUGACGUGAUGGAGAGGGGAACCACCGGCAAAGUGUCGCAAGCUGGUGGAAGUGUUCCACGUCAAGGAGUGAUACAGAAGGACUCCGACCCCGGACAUGUCGACGACCUCCUUGCUGCC